Betta splendens (Siamese fighting fish) is the source of this 1303-nucleotide long non-coding RNA. RefSeq lists it as uncharacterized. NCBI's taxonomy places the organism in Eukaryota, Metazoa, Chordata, Actinopteri, Anabantiformes, Osphronemidae. The record is from RefSeq and is a predicted model, not a curated record. The transcript is spliced from 4 exons.
GUCAACUUUGUCUAUUUUUCCCAGCGAAAAACAAGGUGGGAGUGAGGUUUGAACUGCGGGGCACUGGUAAUGGCGGCGUGUGUGUUGUACAGCACGUCUCAGCGAGAAACGAGCUCGAUCUAUUCACACUACAUGCAGAGCCGUGGCCUCCAGGCUUGAGUUCCUGCUUCGGUAAUGACUCUGUUCCCCUGUGGAAUGUAGAACAUUGUCUUUCCUCAAAUGAGGGAAACACACGCGCGCACGCAAAAUAAAAAAAAUAAAAAAUACGCGCGCGUGCGCACGCGCGAGCACGCGCUUCGAUAUGCAUGAGACGAAAAGCCUUGUAAACACAUCCGGACAAAAUAGCGCGCGCUUGUGCCUCGCGAGUACAGCACACGUAAACACGCACGCUCGCAGCCCACACAUGCCCACGUAAACACGCGCUCGCGCACGAACGCAGCAUCUCGGUCGGAGGAACAUCGAUUGGGCCUCCCUCUCAGUUGGGAGCUCUUAGGCUGCGGACAGAUGCCCUUGGGCACAAGGAAGGAGAGGGAGUGGGAGGCAGCGAUGAGGAGACAGCGUGCAGAGACAGUUGCCUGGAGAGUCGGUGCACAGACGUGGGUAACAGUCUCGACUACUUGCCUGGGCUACGUCCACCAAGAUGCUGCUUGGCUACAGAGUUUAUAGUCAGGAAUGCCGCCACGGCAUAUGCGCGUUCACAGUUGUAAGCGUGUAAAAAGUGUAAUAAAAGGAGCCGUUAUGCGUGAGGACGGCCUGCAUGUGUCUGUGCUGCCCGUCUGUUUCCCCUGUGGGUCGCAGCUUGGACGUUCCUGGGGGCUGAUGCCCUGCUCGCCUCACAUCUGAGCAGCCAGGCUGACUAGGCGGCCCCUAGAAAAAAAAGGCCCCUAGAGGCUAUGAGUACAAGCUGUCCUGUUGGACCUUUAGCGACUCCGCCAUGGCUCCUCCUGAGCCGCUUUCUCGAGAAAAAAAAAAACACAAAAGCGAAGACGCAGGGAAUCUGUGAUGCCGGGUUUUGGCAGCGCGCGCGCGUUUGGACAGCUCUCCCAGUGGGCCGUUCCAGUAAUCCAUGGGAGUGAAACAACGGAAAAGGUGAAAAGCUAGAAGCACAAAGACGGGGGAAAAAGUAGAAGAAGAGACUGCAGCCAGGCUCAACUUCUGAAGAAUCUUUUGAAGGCGCACAUUACAGGCCAGCUGGUCCACUGAUAAAAUAAGCCAAAACAAUGAGAUGAUCACAUGUAACAAAUAAAGUAUGAAUUAUUUCUGAGGACAAAUAUUUGACAUUACUUCCCUAUUCUCUGAUCUU